GUCCUCGUGCCACAAUGGAUACUGGAGCAGACUUCUAAUCUGCCGUGCGAAAGCACAUUGUAGGUUCGAAUCCUACCGAGGACG
This 84-nucleotide transfer RNA is filed under the name Paludibacteraceae bacterium. RNAcentral's name for it is "tRNA-Arg". It matches the Rfam family "tRNA". Rfam says of the family: Transfer RNA (tRNA) molecules are approximately 80 nucleotides in length. Their secondary structure includes four short double-helical elements and three loops (D, anti-codon, and T loops). Lineage: Bacteria; Pseudomonadati; Bacteroidota; Bacteroidia; Bacteroidales; Paludibacteraceae. The record is from RNAcentral.